ACGGAGGGGGCUAGCGUUGUUCGGAAUUACUGGGCGUAAAGCGCACGUAGGCGGAUUGAUAAGUCAGGGGUGAAAUCCCGAAGCUCAACUUCGGAACUGCCUUUGAUACUGUCAGUCUAGAGUCCGAGAGAGGUGAGUGGAAUUCCUAGUGUAGAGGUGAAAUUCGUAGAUAUUAGGAAGAACACCAGUGGCGAAGGCGGCUCACUGGCUCGGUACUGACGCUGAGGUGCGAAAGCGUGGGGAGCAAACAGG
RNAcentral lists this ribosomal RNA (252 nucleotides) under uncultured bacterium. Its description in RNAcentral is "partial 16S ribosomal RNA". It matches the Rfam family "Bacterial small subunit ribosomal RNA", at positions 525 to 776 of the family's 1533-position model. The record is from RNAcentral.